This 197-nucleotide non-coding RNA is filed under the name human gut metagenome. The record is from RNAcentral.
AGAACUAAUAUUUCGAUAGGUGGAAUGAGGAAGUAACGCUCCGAAACGCCUCCAUAAUACUACGAUAUGCAGAAUUAUAUGUAUCAAUAAUUCUGUGUAAAGCUCGUUAAAGUCGGCUGAAAGUUGCCGUAACAGAUUAUGCUGACGCAAGUCGCUUUGAGGAAAGCGAUGCAACCGAUAGGUCGGUGGUCUAUAAA